RNAcentral lists this ribosomal RNA (425 nucleotides) under uncultured bacterium. RNAcentral describes it as "partial 16S ribosomal RNA". It matches the Rfam family "Bacterial small subunit ribosomal RNA", at positions 354 to 796 of the family's 1533-position model. The record is from RNAcentral.
GUGGGGGAUAUUGCACAAUGGGGGAAACCCUGAUGCAGCGACGCCGCGUGAAGGAAGACGUACUUCGGUAUGUAAACUUCUAUCAGCAGGGAAGAAGAUGACGGUACCUGACUAAGAAGCCCCGGCUAACUACGUGCCAGCAGCCGCGGUAAUACGUAGGGGGCAAGCGUUAUCCGGAUUUACUGGGUGUAAAGGGAUCGUAGACGGUGAAGCAAGUCUGAUGUGAAAACCCGGGGCUCAACUCCGGGAUUGCAUUGGAAACUGUUUUACUUGAGUGCUGGAGAGGCAAGCGGAAUUCCUGGUGUAGCGGUGAAAUGCGUAGAUAUCAGGAAGAACACCGGUGGCGAAGGCGGCUUGCUGGACAGUAACUGACGUUGAGGCUCGAAAGCGUGGGGAGCAAACAGGAUUAGAAACCCUUGUAGUCC